CGUCGUCAGUCAGUCGUACGGACGCGCGAUUCACGUUUGACGCGUAGUUUCGGAUGCGUGGCUCGAGCGAAAUCGACGACGGUUGUACGUUUCACGGUGAUACUGGCCGACGGAGGCAACUCCAUCGCGUAUGCGUUCGAUUAUUGGUGUCUGGUGGUGGUGACGGUUUCUGGUAAGGUCGCGGUGGCACGUUUCGCUAUGUCGCAAGUGCUUUGGCCGCGAGAGGCGCAGUGACGACUCGUCCGUGAGCCUGCCGACAUCCUCGACGGCCUUACGAUGGAGUCUAUCAGAAAAUGGUUCUACAGGCCUAAGAGAGACGAUACGAGUCUGCUCGCUCAGUUUUUCUACGCUGACGAGGCGUUGAACGCGGUCGCCUGCGAAUUAGACUCCUUCGAUGGCCGACAGGAGCCGGAGAGAUGCACCACGCUGGUGAAUCAGCUGCGCCAUUGUCAGGACAAGGUGCUGACGAUCUGCAGUCAGAUAAUGGACGAGCUGAUACCGGAGAGCAGGGCGAACAGGGAUUUCAGGGUGAAGUUCCCGGACGACGUGAUGCAGGAGAAUCUCGCAGGACAAUUGUGGUUCGGCGCGGAAUGCCUGGCAGCUGGCUCCUCAAUCAUGAACAGGGAAGCUGAAAGUUCAGCCAUGAGGCCAUUGGCGAAGGCCCUGACAAAGUCGCUGGAUAUCGUCAGGAAUUUGCUCAGGGAGCACGCGCUGAAAGGUCACAUGAACCUGAAGUAUCUCUUUCAGACGCAGAACCCGCUGGACCCGUCGUUGGAGAAGCUGAUCGAGUCGCUGAAGAUCUUCGAUCGCCUGUUCUCCGAUUUCGAGCUGUGCUACGUCGGCGCUAUGGUACCGGUGAAAUCGACCAAGGAGUACGAGCAACAGGAACUCGUGUGCGUUUUAUUUUCGGAGACGCUGCAGAGAGCUCUCGAACGUGGAUUGCUCAGCCAAGCUGACGUGGAUAAUUACGAGCCAGCCCUGAUGUUUACAAUUCCCCGUUUGGCGAUUGUUUCUGGCCUCUUGGCUCCGCCUGGAGGUCCGCUGUGCCUCAAAUCACCCGAUAACAUUAGUGAAAUGUUUAGGCCGUUUAAGACGCUGCUUUUAAAAAUCCGGGAGCUCUUAUGGACGCUGAAUAACCGUGAGCUGUACAUGCUCGAGAAACUGUUGUGCUCGAACGAAGAGCCGUCGGGUCCUAUCACGCACUCGUCGAAGUCCGCGUGCCAGGACAUACCAGACCUGGAGGAGUUCGUUCACAAUUUUUAUACCGGUUAUCCGAACUGCAAAGACUUCAUCGUAGAUUUUUACACAGUGACGAGGAACACGGGAAACAAUAUGGACGAGGUGGCGAACGACGUGGUUCAAGCGUUAACGGAAGAAUGCGAGAACGCGGAUCGUUCGCCGGAGAUGAGGUGUGACCAAGAGGAGGGCGAUAGGCACGCGGGCACGAGGAUGAAUGAUGUCGAAUACGGGCCUAAUCGUGUGUACGUGUCCGCGGACGGGUUUCACGAGAGUGCCAGGUGUAACGGUGGCGCGAGGACAUCCAGUGAACGAGAGAGUGUCGGUGAUGAAGUGCAAUACAGCGUGAAGAAGGCUUGCAACGCCAACGUUGGCAGGCGGCAGUCCUGCGACGACGGCCUUAGCUCCAGAAGAGAAGAGGAUAACGCUGAUUCGGUUUAUCUCACGGUGCAGGCAGCGGUUGCACAGGGUAGCGCGGAGAACGGUGCGUCGAUCAGCAGCGAGAAUCAGGUGAGUCAACAGCAGCAGCAGCAGCAGGACGACUUCAUGACUUCCGACAUCUCCGAGAUCCUAGAUGGCUCUGAGAACAUAGAGAUUCCGCAGACUCAGUACCUACUUAACCAGGUAUCCCACGAGAACAACGUGUCCGGCGAGACCAUGCACAUCCAGAACUCGCUGCCGGAUUUGGACUCGAAGAAGCUGAUCUCCGAGGCGAACAAAACCCUGUCGAAUCUCCUGUUGGACAGCGACUGUCAGAACGAGAUCUCGGAGCAGACCGAUUCCGGGAUCUGCACGGUUUUGUCCUCGGAGAACACCAGCCUCUACGAUAAGAGCCCGGAGGAGAAAAAGACGUUCGCGAACGAGAUCCAGCAGGACGACCAGAUCUUGGACGACGAGGACACGCAAGAGAACACCAGCUACUCCUGCUCGAAUCUCAACUCACCGAAGAGAAAGAGCUCCACGAUCUCGGAGAACUCUUGCGUCUGUAGUCUGAGGAGCGUGAAACCGGCCCCGCCUAUGGAUAAUUCGAUCGAGGUGCACAAUCUCCACUCGAGCAGCACCGAGGCCGCGAAAAACAUUCCAAGGAUAUCGUCGAACUUCGACGGUACCAACGAGGAGUUCGUCGGAGUCGCCUACGGGAACGGCCACAUCACCGUCUGCGACUCGAACCAGUCCAGCUUUCAGAUCAACUACACGGAGAACUGGGAAAACUUGAAUCUGAACAUCGACGCGUCCACCUCUCGCCGGGAGUUUUGGUGCGACCUGAAGUGCGAGAACUGUCCGUCGACGUCGCAGAACAUCGGCAAGAUAGGGACGAAGAUCGAGCAUUACGCGAAGGAGAAGAUCGUAUCGAGGAAGAUGAGGGACGAGAAGCAGAAACGGAGACAUCAUCGCAGACACGAUAAAAGCGGCCCGCUGAUUCACGGGACCCAGGAUACCAGGACCACCUCGCAUUUCCAGAGCGUGUAUUGCGCGACCAGCACAGAGAGCUCCAGGUCGAACUCGACCGACCGGUGCUUGAACCCUAGACUGAUCAGCUACGGCGCCAGUUUACACCCGAGCCAGAACACUAGGCAAAUGCCGAAUUUCGGGAGCCACAGUCCUCACGCCAGCCCGAGGAUGCAGCACUUCGAGCCGCGUAGUAACGGCCAACGAACUUGCAGCAUCGCCCUCAGGACGCAAAGAAACUUGUCGCCGCAUAACAAGAAGCUUCUGGAUCACAGGAGAUCUAGGUCAGAGCAAAUCAGCCGGAUGAAGAGGAGGGACGUCGAGAAGAGAGACAAGUACGACAGGGUUAAUACUCGCUCCGAGCAGACCAAGAGGAAACUGGAGAGCAGAAGUCCUAACGAACUGAUGAACGAUGGUUUGGGACCAAGGACGGACAAGAGUGGCUUGGUGGCGGAGCCAGUUUCCCCGGUGAUGCCGCAAAACGUUCCUUACGGAGUCCAGAGUUUAAUAAAAGACAAUAAUACACAGAGAACCGUUCGCGCGAUAAGACUGGUCAAUGCGACGACCGUUUCUGGCGCGCAGUCGUUCAACUCUGAUCGCUCGCUGAUCCAUAAGCCGGACGUCGGGUCCAGCUCCAGCUGUUCCAGCUGCUGCGACUCCAGCUCCGAGACCAGCGAGUUCCAGAGCGACUGCCAAGAUGACGAAGAGAUUGCGCUUGCGAUGCAGGCAGCUGAGAUCGCAAACAGGAAUCAGAUACGGGCGAAGUUUCGAUCGUCGGAGGAUCUUGUUCAUCGACUGUUCGUCUGUAUAGCCGGUGUGGCGGAUCAGUUGCAGACGAACUUUGCCUCGGACCUGCGGAAUAUCUUGAAGUGCGUGUUUUUGAUGAACAGUAGUCAGACCGUAGAAGACAGCGAGGUGAAGGACGACAUUUUAACCGCAGACGAUCAGAUAGCAAAUCCUAUAAACGAUACGGGUACUAAUCACGAGCGACAAGACUCGUUGCAGGAAUAUGAAGACGAUCUGGAAGAUACGACUGCGACUAACGGCCAAAAUACAAAUUCUCCGAUAACCGAACGCGGUGAAGAGUGCGUGGAACGUGCUCCAGCUUGGGUCCCCGACAACGACGCGCCACGGUGUAUGGCUUGUCAAGCUGGCUUCACCGUAGUGCGACGGAGACACCAUUGCAGAAAUUGUGGCAAAGUGUUCUGCGGUCGUUGCAGUAGCAACAACGUUCCCCUGCCACGUUACGGGCAUACGAAACCCGUGAGGGUGUGCAACAGGUGUUUUCUCUAUCAGGUGACGCCGUUCACCGUUUCCCAAGUAACACCUGCGAGCUGAACAUUAACAGAACAAGUAGGGACACAGUGUUUCGAUGGUCGAUCCUUGAAAGGGAACUUCGUCAGAUGUUGCAUCGAUAUUAAAAUAUAUUAAACUGCUUGAGUUACAAAGGAAGUUGUAUGUCAUUCGCUUGAAUAAUUGCAAAUUGGCACAAGGAUAGUGACAUUAAAGAUAUUCAUAAAUAGGUGAAGCGCAAGAAUCUUAAAUAAGAUAGUAAAACAAAAACGACAAAAAAAGUGAAAGAAAGAACGAAAAUUCGAAAGGAGGGGAUGCAUCGUAGACUGAGAGACAAAUCCUUGCGCCGAGUUGGACUUUAAACUAUAUCAACCGCUCGCUCAGCGAUAGUGAUCCAAGUGAUUUCUAAAUUUUUAAUAUAAUAAACUAGCGAGAAGAGUUGCGAGUAGUCAAAGUGUGAUUGUACUAUAAUCGUGACCAUCGAUUCGACGAAACGUUUAUAAAGGGUGUGUCUGAAAUGAAAAGGAACAUUGAACAAUUGCCAUGUUUUCCCGUUUUCGAGAACAUUGAAUUUGAAUAUUCAAGUAUGCUCGAUGCCGAUUCAAUUAACCGAUGGCAAGCACAAGAUCUCAAGUCGAAUUUUCAAAACCGAUCGUCUCGAAAAUUAAAUCUGUUUAGAACAAAUUUUAUUUUCUAUUUUCCAUUUAGUUUUGUAUGAAAAAUUACCAGCCCUUCUUUAACGCUACACAAUUUCAGAUGUACCCUCUAUUGCGAGUGUCCUAAUUUAUCUUUCGCAUUCAGCGAAUACCGAGGAAACGUAUUUGCUUCUGUUCCAAGAGACGUUGUUGCUCGGCUUUUCCCCUGCUCAGAAACACAAAGUAGUUCUUUGUAGUAUACCUAGUUUGGACCUGCAGUUAAUUGACGACAAUAUGUUCGUCGUCUAACAAACGAGGAGACCAAAUCGUCGAUUAUUCACAAAAAGGUAGCCUCGACGAUGACCUUCGGAUAUGCUGUCAACGUCCCGAGUAACUUUGUUUAUAUCUUUUCAACUACAGCCGAGCGACGGUUAUAUAAAGUAACGUUAUUUAGGACGUUGCUUCGAUAACAUAUUUAAAGGUCGUCGAAAUAAGUGUGACAUGCCUCCUUGUCAAUAACCAUGCGCUGGCAAAUCGGAACACCGUUCUGGAAGCUUGUGAACUGCGAUUUUUAAGAGGUGUCCUGCGAUCCGAUUGAUCUGUGCAGCAUCCACUCGCAGAGGCACGUUACUAUCGCUUGUGCCAAAUUUUCGUGACAAUAAGUUCCCAGCUGGUUACGCGGUUUUCCGCGCGUACAAUUUAGGGGAGUCUACGUGAUCUCUUCGGUAUCGUAGUUCGGAUACACAAAACAUAGAUCAGCCCUGCAGAUGCUAUAUCAGUUCUCCAACGUAUACGGGGAAUUCCCAUGAGCUCUUGAUUGUAUAAUGAUCGUUGUACUAAAUAUCCUUCUCUGUAUCUGACUGGGUCUGAAUCAUGUAUCUCGAGAUUAAGGCCAUCGAGACCCAAGAUCGGAACAUUGAGCUGAACUGUCUGCUGUCAACAGCUCUCUCCUGAGAAGGUUGCGAUGUUGCCGCUUUGACAUAGCUAUCCUUGCACAUCUUACGUAUAUCUUGUGUCCAUUGAGGACUGCAACUCUGCCAGACGUCGACAUCAGAGCCAGCUCGUCGGCGGUCUGUACAUUGCCCCAAUCCAUCUCUUCUCGCGGACGACAUAGGGGGCAGGCUCACCAGCCUGCCAUGUUCUUCACUGUGUCAAGAAACUUGAUGCACGAUUACAUGCUCAAAGAUGUCGUCUUCUCCACCGUUGGCAUCGCUUAUACCAUAGUCUAUAAUCGCAGAAAAAAAAAAGUUCACUCGCACACAUCUCACACAAAAUUGUGCAUCGCUCUCAAGCUAUGGGAUUCGCACAGAGCUAGGAGAUGACCAUACGAAGGCGCUGUCAGUUACGAUAUAGCUUAAAUUUAUCUUUUCAAUGAACUGAAUUCCGUCAUAUGCUAGAGAUUACUUUCCUGGUUAUGAAUUCCGAAAAAGGUACGACUCCCACUUUUACGCCACGCUAGCUUUUUCUCUCUGUUUCAGAGGCGAGGAACACGAGGCUGUAAACUGUUUGUUAGAGUAACUUCGAGAAGAUACAAAAUUCUAAGGUUUUCACUCGUCAGAGGUUCUGGGGUAAGUGCCGUGCGGUCUGACAAGAUCUUGUUAUCAAAAUGUGACCUUUUUUUUUCUCCCUACUCUAUGACCAAAGAUCUUGCAAGAAAAAUAUUUUUAUUCUCGAGGCAGUACAACUUUAUCAAUGAGUUUUGAAUUCAUCGUGCAAGAGACUUCCGGUUUAUGAAUCAGGACAUCGAUAGUUUAUUUUCUUACACUCCCUUCCAUGACCGCACGUGGCCUAACACCCUACCAUAAAUCCUUGAUCGACGAAUCCAAUUUGAUUUAAAGGACGCUGACACUAAUAGACAAUUCCAAUCAUGGAGUAUCCUAUAAACUCUGUCCAGGAUUAGCAUUGCGAACUUCUGUCUCCACGUUUCGAAUUCAAGUGGUUUUAUAAAGCUCUUUCUUGCUUCAGAAUUUGAUGUACAAUAAGGGAAACGAGGAAUCAUCAACGAUAGUAAAAUUGACAAAAUUUCGAAAGUUCUGUAAAAUAUCCUUUUUAUAUGUAACGCAUUACAUAUUUGAAUUAUUGUCGAUGAUACAUGAUACAAAUCAAUAAUGUUGUUGUAUACUGGUUUCAAUUUUAUGGCAGAAUGUGAUCAUGUAAUCAAUUUAAUUUCAAUUUUCUAUUUGCACAAUAUAAAACUACGACUGCCAAUAAUUAUCGAUAAGUUAGUUGUUGUCACAUGCUGUCAUUGUCUUGUUCCAUAGAUAUUAAUGUUCUCGAAUCUAUCCUACAACAUUAGCUGACUUUAAUUAGCGUUAAGAUUUUCAUUGCGGUAUCAAAAUUUAUAUAAGCUACGAUCUUAAGAUAAAAUCUUGUAUUAAUUAGAAGUAUAGAUCGAUUCUACUCUUUUCAGUGAUUUCGGUGUAACAGUGUAUCAUUACAUUGUUUAACGUGUACGGAGGCCACAAUAUCUGGAAAUGUUCUCAACAUCCGAUGUCAAGCGAUCUCUAAUUAUUUUGAAUAAUGCUGUAAGAAAACUUGUAAAUAACACUGAAAAUUGCAUCAUUUUUCUGUACUUCAAAGUAGUUUGAUACAUUCUCCUGAAUUAAUAUUUCGUUCAUGUAUUGUCUAAUAUUAGGGUAGAGCGAGGUAUAGUUAAUAUGUAUAUUUCCAAGUGAUCAAAAUACAUGGACGUGAAGAACUAGUAAUAAUUGUAAUCUCGAGGUAAUAGCGUUGUACCAAUGAAUUCAAUGAUUACUCUGUACGGAUUCGGUAAUAUUACCAUCGUUAGUCACGACUGUUUACAUUGAUCACAUCGGGCGUCUGUCAUACUUCAAUGUUAAUCCGAAAUUUAACCGAUUCUACAAUGUUAAUCCUGCUGACUAGAUAAAAAUCACAAAGCUUCGACAGAUUCUCACACAUACGAGCUCAUGGUUUUCCCAUCGGAUAAAAUCGCGUACACUGUAAACAAUAAUUUUAAGACGCAUACGUCGGCCCAUUCUUUCAUUUUACAAGUGUCAACGAGUCCCCCAUCUGUAUAUAUGUACCGAAACACCCUGUAUAAAACUCUAUGGAGUAAUCAACUGGCUGGUGGCUUCGACGGAAGCGGUCCGAAGUCAGCGUAAAAUUAUCUCUAAAAACGAAAAAAAAAAUAAUAACAAUGAAAAACUAUUACUGAGUGUUUGUCAAUGUGGAUCAUCGUGUCCGUCGACUGUCCGCAGGCGUUCAUAGCAAGUGGAAAUAUGUAGUUCGAAGCGCACGAAAUGCGUUCACCGUCUUCGAAAACGAUAUCGGCGUACAAUUUCCUUACCGAGCUGUAGAACAGGACCGCGUGUGCGACGGCGCUUCUAGAGCGGGUAAGAGGCGGUCUAGGAGAAACAACGUUAACUUGGCGUUAAAAAUUUCACAUUCCGUUGCAUCGGUGUCGGCGUGAUACAGUCAAUAAUAUCUGCGCGAGAAACCUAUAAAAACAUGGAGCAGCAACGGUGUUUGCCAUUGUUGUUCGACGAUUCGAAGCGAUUCAGCGAUUAGAAAGGGGUCAGGGAAUAAAUCGUCCGACGAAUAAUUUUCGAUCUAGUGGCUCAAGUUAUGCCUUCGAUACCGAUCGAGGCGUGUCCGAGACGCGCGAUCUGCUCGCAGGUCUUUUGAACAUUGAAGGAUGCGUAUCGCGGAAAACGCUUCCGCGGCCUGGUAGGACUGUCAAACUAAAGACUUCUCUAAGGACAUACAUACAUACAUACAUACGUUCUCUUAAGAAGCACAUCGAUAUUAGGGAGUGUCGCGGAAAAUACGAACUAAGCUUAGGAUGAGAGUUAUUUUUUACACGCAAUCGAUGCCUUGCUCUAGCAUAUUGUGCUUUCUAUCUUUUACGUAAACGACCCUUCGCACUCGAGCUUACGAGUCGUAGGUAUUCACAUUGAUUACUCUUCUGUUAAUUCAUCGUAAUAUCGGGGCUUGGAAGCUGCUUUUAAAAUGCAUUUAAGAUCCUUGCGUGGAACCUUCGUCUCGAAUAACUGUUACGGAGAAUUCCGAAGUUUCCAAUAUCGAAGAAAUUUCAAGCCCCGGCCAAGUACCAUUUCUUCGUCCGUUGACCAGAGGGGAUCGUCUUCAAGGAAUAAAAUUAAUCCUCGUAUACCCCCCAAAGAAACAUUUGCCCGUUUUCUAUUUUAGAUAUUGUAAAAUUUUGUAUUUCUUUACGAUUGUCCUGCAAUCCGAAUGCGUUCGUUUCAAAUGUCAAAUUACCAAUAAACGUAUAUAUUAAACCCUCUU
This is an RNA transcript of Megalopta genalis, 8879 nucleotides long. It is a transcript of the gene named lateral signaling target protein 2 homolog, with no coding region annotated. Lineage: Eukaryota; Metazoa; Arthropoda; Insecta; Hymenoptera; Halictidae. The record is from RefSeq and is a predicted model, not a curated record.